This 497-nucleotide ribosomal RNA is filed under the name uncultured bacterium. RNAcentral's name for it is "partial 16S ribosomal RNA". It matches the Rfam family "Bacterial small subunit ribosomal RNA", at positions 28 to 507 of the family's 1533-position model. The record is from RNAcentral.
GAUGAACGCUGGCGGCGUGCCUAAUACAUGCAAGUCGAGCGAACGGACGAGAAGCUUGCUUCUCUGAUGUUAGCGGCGGACGGGUGAGUAACACGUGGAUAACCUACCUAUAAGACUGGGAUAACUUCGGGAAGCCGGAGCUAAUACCGGAUGAUAUUUUGAACCGCAUGGUUCAAAAGUGAAAGACGGUCUUGCUGUCACUUAUAGAUGGAUCCGCGCUGCAUUAGCUAGUUGGUAAGGUAACGGCUUACCAAGGCAACGAUGCAUAGCCGACCUGAGAGGGUGAUCGGCCACACUGGAACUGAGACACGGUCCAGACUCCUACGGGAGGCAUCAGUAGGGAAUCUUCCGCAAUGGGCGAAAGCCUGACGGAGCAACGCCGCGUGAGUGAUGAAGGUCUUCGGAUCGUAAAACUCUGUUAUUAGGGAAGAACAUAUGUGUAAGUAACUGUGCACAUCUUGACGGUACCUAAUCAGAAAGCCACGGCUAACUACGUG